This 253-nucleotide ribosomal RNA is filed under the name uncultured bacterium. RNAcentral describes it as "partial 16S ribosomal RNA". It matches the Rfam family "Bacterial small subunit ribosomal RNA", at positions 524 to 776 of the family's 1533-position model. The record is from RNAcentral.
UACGAGGGGGGCGAGCGUUGUUCGGAAUUAUUGGGCGUAAAGGGUGCGUAGGCGGUUUGGUAAGUCUUGUGUGAAAUCUCUGGGCUCAACUCAGAGUCUGCACGAGAAACUGCCGGGCUUGAGUGUGGGAGAGGUGAGUGGAAUUCCUGGUGUAGCGGUGAAAUGCGUAGAUAUCAGGAGGAACACCUGUGGCGAAAGCGGCUCACUGGACCAUAACUGACGCUGAUGCACGAAAGCUAGGGGAGCAAACAGG